This 450-nucleotide ribosomal RNA is filed under the name uncultured bacterium. RNAcentral describes it as "partial 16S ribosomal RNA". It matches the Rfam family "Bacterial small subunit ribosomal RNA", at positions 354 to 796 of the family's 1533-position model. The record is from RNAcentral.
GUGGGGAAUAUUGGACAAUGGGCGAAAGCCUGAUCCAGCCAUGCCGCGUGUGUGAAGAAGGUCUUCGGAUUGUAAAGCACUUUAAGUUGGGAGGAAGGGCAGUAAGUUAAUACCUUGCUGUUUUGACGUUACCGACAGAAUAAGCACCGGCUAACUUCGUGCCAGCAGCCGCGGUAAUACGUAGGGUGCAAGCGUUGUCCGGAUUUACUGGGUUUAAAGGGUGCGCAGGCGGGCUAUUAAGUCUGUGAUGAAAUGUCAGGGCUCAACCUUGGCGCUGUUGCGGAAACUAAUAGUCUUGAGAUCUGUUGAGGUAGCUGGAAUGAGUGGUGUAGCGGUGAAAUGCGUAGAGAUCACUCGGAACACCGAUUGCGAAGGCAGGUUACUAAGCAGCAUCUGACGCUCAGGCACGAAAGCGUGGGUAGCAAACAGGAUUAGAUACCCGGGUAGUCC